Molecule: ribosomal RNA, 201 nt
Filed under: uncultured bacterium
Lineage: Bacteria
Description: partial 16S ribosomal RNA
Rfam family: Bacterial small subunit ribosomal RNA
Source: RNAcentral
AUUCCUACGGGAGGCAGCAGUGGGGAAUAUUGGACAAUGGGCGAAAGCCUGAUCCAGCCAUGCCGCGUGUGUGAAGAAGGCCUUUUGGUUGUAAAGCACUUUAAGCGAGGAGGAGGCUACCGAGAUUAAUACUCUUGGAUAGUGGACGUUACUCGCAGAAUAAGCACCGGCUAACUCUGUGCCAGCAGCCGCGGUAAUAAU